Molecule: ribosomal RNA, 274 nt
Filed under: uncultured bacterium
Lineage: Bacteria
Description: partial 16S ribosomal RNA
Rfam family: Bacterial small subunit ribosomal RNA
Source: RNAcentral
AUACGGAGGGGGCUAGCGUUGUUCGGAAUUACUGGGCGUAAAGCGCACGUAGGCGGUAUAUCAAGUUAGGCGUGAAAGCCCUGGGCUCAACCCGGGAACUGCGCUUAUUACUGAUGAACUAGAGUCCGGGAGAGGGUAGCGGAAUUCCCAGUGUAGAGGUGAAAUUCGUAGAUAUUGGGAAGAACACCAGUUGCGAAGGCGGCUACCUGGACCGGUACUGACGCUGAGGUGCGAAAGCGUGGGGAGCAAACAGGAUUAGAAACCCCGGUAGUCC